CUGGCUCAGAUGAACGCUGGCGGCAGGCCUAACACAUGCAAGUCGAACGGUAACAGGAAGCAGCUGCUGCUUGCUGACGAGUGGCGGACGGGUGAGUAAUGUCUGGGAAACUGCCCGAUGGAGGGGGAUAACUACUGGAAACGGUAGCUAAUACCGCAUAAUGUCGCAAGACCAAAGAGGGGGACCUUCGGGCCUCUUGCCAUCGGAUGUGCCCAGAUGGGAUUAGCUUGUUGGUGAGGUAACGGCUCACCAAGGCGACGAUCCCUAGCUGGUCUGAGAGGAUGACCAGCCACACUGGAACUGAGACACGGUCCAGACUCCUACGGGAGGCAGCAGUGGGGAAUAUUGCACAAUGGGCGCAAGCCUGAUGCAGCCAUGCCCGCGUGUAUGAAGAAGGCCUUCGGGUUGUAAAGUACUUUCAGCGGGGAGGAAGGGAGUAAAGUUAAUACCUUUGCUCAUUGACGUUACCCGCAGAAGAAGCACCGGCUAACUCCGUGCCAGCCGCCGC
RNAcentral lists this ribosomal RNA (508 nucleotides) under uncultured bacterium. Its description in RNAcentral is "bacterial SSU rRNA". It matches the Rfam family "Bacterial small subunit ribosomal RNA", at positions 19 to 518 of the family's 1533-position model. The record is from RNAcentral.